ACUACUAUAGUCGUUUAAGUUUUGCUCCUUUUUACACACACAUAUGGAGAAGUCUGUGAUCUGCAAAAAAAUCUUCAUCUUCAUCGUGCUCGCAACAUUGUGUAACUCUCUCUCCCCCUUCCCUCUUUCUCAUUAUUAUAAUUCGCUUUUAAAGAAAAAUGUUGCACCGUUACUAAUCUCUUUUGAUUUUGUUUGAAUAUAUACACAGGUAUGGAGUUAUCGAAUCUUCCGCGAACAGAAGCGACAUUUUGUGACAAUGAUUCUCAAUGUUUAUAUUAUGCGCCGAUAUGCAAAAUUAGAGACGAAAUAUCUUACUGCGACACGAACUUGCACGUAUGCUUGUGCAAAAAACCUCAGCCAGAAGUCAAUAUUAAAAAUUAACGAUCAUCAUUGAUUAGUUAUGCUAAUAAUUUUUAAAUGGAAUUGAAAAAUUCGUUUCAUCUUUUAUGAGCACUGCUAUCUUUAAUUCAG
RNAcentral lists this long non-coding RNA (471 nucleotides) under Daucus carota (carrot). Its description in RNAcentral is "long non-coding RNA (DCAR_LNC006308)". The record is from RNAcentral. Lineage: Eukaryota; Viridiplantae; Streptophyta; Magnoliopsida; Apiales; Apiaceae.